This 62-nucleotide transfer RNA is filed under the name Reduvius gregoryi. RNAcentral's name for it is "tRNA-Cys". Lineage: Eukaryota; Metazoa; Arthropoda; Insecta; Hemiptera; Reduviidae. The record is from RNAcentral.
GGCUUUAUAGUCAAUGUAUGAUAUUAGACUGCAAUUCUAAAGUAGUAAUUUUACUAAAGCUU